Molecule: long non-coding RNA, 217 nt
Filed under: Setaria italica (foxtail millet)
Lineage: Eukaryota; Viridiplantae; Streptophyta; Magnoliopsida; Poales; Poaceae
Description: long non-coding RNA (SITA_LNC002778)
Source: RNAcentral
GUCGGGGUAGCCGGAGAGCAGGCAGGUGCAGACGGGAGGGAGGUUGUCCUCCGGCAGAUGCGGCAGCUGGAUCCUCGUGCGAGGGUCGUGAGGGUCGAGAAGGUAGGUGGACGAGGCGGCGGCGUCGCGGACCAGGACCCAGCCCUGCGGGGUUGCCCAGAAGUUGCUGUUCUUGAGCUCGCCGGUGCCGUCGACGCCGAUGGCCUUCUUCUCCGAG